RNAcentral lists this transfer RNA (73 nucleotides) under Lignosus rhinocerotis TM02. RNAcentral describes it as "tRNA-Arg (TCT) (tRNA-Arg-TCT-2-1)". It matches the Rfam family "tRNA". Rfam says of the family: Transfer RNA (tRNA) molecules are approximately 80 nucleotides in length. Their secondary structure includes four short double-helical elements and three loops (D, anti-codon, and T loops). Lineage: Eukaryota; Fungi; Basidiomycota; Agaricomycetes; Polyporales; Polyporaceae. The record is from RNAcentral.
GCCCCCGUCGUCUAAUGGUUAUGACGCCAGACUUCUAAUCUGGCGGUUGUGAGUUCGAGUCUCACCUGGGGUU